Molecule: small RNA, 139 nt
Filed under: Synechococcus sp.
Lineage: Bacteria; Bacillati; Cyanobacteriota; Cyanophyceae; Synechococcales; Synechococcaceae
Also listed under: 1 other name
Description: Guanidine-I sequence
Rfam family: Guanidine-I riboswitch aptamer
About the family: This family represents a conserved RNA structure found upstream of the ykkC and yxkD genes in Bacillus subtilis and related genes in other bacteria. The function of this family is unclear although it has been suggested that it may function to switch on efflux pumps and detoxification systems in response to harmful environmental molecules.
Source: RNAcentral
GCUAUCAGCUUCUAGGGUUCCGACUUGAAAUGAAGGCUUCAUUGCUGGGAAUGAAGUGCUUCGUGCAAGUGUCUGGUCCGAGAGAAGCAGCUUGCUGAGUCCUCAGUAAGCUACACGGCGGGAAAAAAGCCCGGGAGGA